AAAUGACUCUCGGCAACGGAUAUCUUGGCUCUCGCAUCGAUGAAGAACGUAGCGAAAUGCGAUACUUGGUGUGAAUUGCAGAAUCCCGUGAACCAUCGAGUCUUUGAACGCAAGUUGCGCCCAAAGCCAUUAGGUUGAGGGCACGCCUGCCUGGGCGU
Molecule: ribosomal RNA, 158 nt
Filed under: Codonanthopsis macradenia
Lineage: Eukaryota; Viridiplantae; Streptophyta; Magnoliopsida; Lamiales; Gesneriaceae
Also listed under: 1 other name
Description: 5.8S ribosomal RNA
Rfam family: 5.8S ribosomal RNA
About the family: 5.8S ribosomal RNA (5.8S rRNA) is a component of the large subunit of the eukaryotic ribosome.
Source: RNAcentral